CUGGUAAAGAGGCACGGGCCCAGCCAUGAAUCAGUGUAGUAUACGUUUUAAUAUUAGGCUUCACUCCUGCAGAUCUCAUUUCUUCAAUUGUGUUUGUUGCUCUCUGCAUAUCUCCAGCCUUGGAACAAGCAUUUAUGAAGGACGUGUAGGUGUGGAUGUCAGGUUGAACCCCUUCUCGUUUCAUUUGUUGCAUUAGAUCAG
Molecule: unclassified non-coding RNA, 201 nt
Filed under: Hevea brasiliensis (rubber tree)
Lineage: Eukaryota; Viridiplantae; Streptophyta; Magnoliopsida; Malpighiales; Euphorbiaceae
Source: RNAcentral